AAAGUGGAAGAGGAAAGAGUUACCCCAGCGAGAACCGGGAACCGGGCCGCAGACUCUCCGGCCCCGGGGAGGGAUGAGUUUCACUCUGGUUGCCCAGGCUGGAGUGCAAUGGCGCGAUCUCGGCUCACGGCAACCUCUGCCUCCCGGAUUCAAGCGAUUCUCCUGCUUCAGCCUCCCGAGUAGCUGGGAUUACAGAUAUGCUCUAACUUAUCCCCAAAGGACGUGCAUUUGGGUCAUUUUCAAUCUUCUGCUAUGGUAAGUAACACUUCAGCAAAUAAAUAUUUGCUCAUCACUGUCUCUCUUAUAUAAACUCCUGGGCAUGGAAUUUCAGGUCAAAGAAUGUGCUUGCUCUGAAAUGUAAUGGAUUUUGCCAAAUUGCUAUUCACAGAAGAUAUACCCACUUACACUGCCCCAAAGCCUACAUUUUUCUCACUUUAGUUUGGUCACAUUGUCCUGGUUGGAUACUUUCUGUCUCCUGUAUCUCAUAGUUGGAGAUAUCCUAACCAUGGCCUCCUGGGGACACUGUGCAGUUUCCUUUCUGCCCAUCCUGCUGCCUCCACCCCUAAUCCAAACAACCCCUCAUAUCUGUGUAUGUCAGAGGACUUUCCACACAGCAUCUCAUUUGAUCCUAUCUUGUGGAGUAGGAAGGAAAACCAUAUCAGCACAGUCUGGGGUAUGAGGACUGGAGGUGAAACAACUGGCCCAGGGUCCUAGGAUGGAAGGAGAGCCUCCUUGCUGAGCACUUUCCCACCAUACACCAUUGUCCAAAGAUGGCCUCCUAAGUCUGGGAAGGGUAGUACCAAGGAGGUAUAUCAGUUGGAAGUGAUGCCACUAACACACUAACACUUACUGAAAACACUGAUGUGGGCCAGAGACUGGGGAUAUAGAGGUGGACAAAACCUCCUCCCUGCCUCCGGGAGCAUGCAGAGAUGGGAGUGCAAUGUGGGGUGGUUCCCAGGCAGCAUGGGGAGCCAUCUAUAUAAGCUGAGAUUGGAAGGAUGAAUGAGGGUUGGCCAGACUAAGGAAUGGCAUUU
Molecule: non-coding RNA, 1034 nt
Filed under: Pan troglodytes (chimpanzee)
Lineage: Eukaryota; Metazoa; Chordata; Mammalia; Primates; Hominidae
Source: RNAcentral